RNAcentral lists this ribosomal RNA (500 nucleotides) under uncultured bacterium. Its description in RNAcentral is "partial 16S ribosomal RNA". It matches the Rfam family "Bacterial small subunit ribosomal RNA", at positions 28 to 507 of the family's 1533-position model. The record is from RNAcentral.
GACGAACGCUGGCGGCGUGCCUAAUACAUGCAAGUCGUGCGGACCUUGUUGAAAGCUUGCUUUUAAAAGGUUAGCGGCGGACGGGUGAGUAACACGUGGGCAACCUGCCUGUAAGACUGGGAUAACGCCGGGAAACCGGGGCUAAUACCAGAUCGUUUUUUCCUCCGCAUGGAGGAAAAAGGAAAGGCGGCUUCGGCUGCCACUUACAGAUGGGCCCGCGGCGCAUUAGCUAGUUGGCGGGGUAAUGGCCCACCAACGCAACGAUGCGUAGCCGACCUGAGAAGGUGAUCGGCCACAUUGGGACUGAGACAAGGCCCAAACUUCUACGGGAGGCAGCAGUAGGGGAUCUUCCGCAAUGGACGAAAGUCUGACGGGGCAACGCCGCGUGAGUGAAGGAAGCCUUCGGGUCGUAAAACUCUGUUGCCGGGGAAGAACAAGUGCCGUUCGAACAGGGCGGCGCCUUGACGGUACCCGGCCAGAAAGCCACGGCUAACUACGUG